Spinacia oleracea (spinach) is the source of this 718-nucleotide long non-coding RNA. RefSeq lists it as uncharacterized. NCBI's taxonomy places the organism in Eukaryota, Viridiplantae, Streptophyta, Magnoliopsida, Caryophyllales, Amaranthaceae. The transcript is spliced from 3 exons. The record is from RefSeq and is a predicted model, not a curated record.
UUCUGCUACAUCGGUUUCAAACACUAUGAAAACCUUAAAGAAACAAAUAAAAAAAAAGCGCCUAAAAGAAAAUAUCCCUCACGGAGUUUCUGUACGCCUCCAUCCCCACCUCCUUCUUGCAUCUCCAUCUCUCUCCUCCAUAGAUCACCUCCUAUCUCCUCUCGCAUCUCCUCCUCUACCGUCCUUUAUCUUUUAGCGUCAAUGGCAACGGUGUGGCGAUGGUGGCGUUGUGGGCGGUGAUGUCGUUGCUUGUGGCGCUGUAAUUCCUUUAUUAGGGUUUCGAUUUGGUUUUUUUGGGGCAUGAAAGAUUGCUGAAGAUAAGCUGAAGGAUGACAAUACUACUUUUAGAGGAGGAGAGGGUGGUGUCAGCAAAAAAAAAUGAUGAUAUCAAGCAUCUGAAGGAGGAACACUGCUUUAUUUGACGAAAAUUGUCAGUAUUCAAGUUUUGACAAAGAGCAGAUUGACGAAGUAAGAAGUUAGUGGGUGCUUCAUGUUGUUGAACAAUUGUAUAAUAGCUAGGUUACGUUGUCAAAAAAUAUACAACUCUAUUAAUAAAUGUAUUUUGCGUAGUUUAAUGUUUGUAAUGUUAUUGUAGAACAUAUAUAUGUAAUCGGUUUUAUUAGGGUGAAAAUUACAAAAUUCAUUGAGGUUUGGAAAUUUAUAUUCAACUAUUUAUUAUACACUCUUCAAUAUAUGGUACAUUGAAUUAAAUAUGUAA